RNAcentral lists this ribosomal RNA (83 nucleotides) under Palpitomonas bilix. RNAcentral's name for it is "partial Eukaryotic large subunit ribosomal RNA". The record is from RNAcentral.
AAUUGGGAUGGCCGGACGUGGUUUUGAGGCAACGUGAUUUCUGCCCAGUGCUCUGAAUAUCGAAGUGAAGGUGUUCAACAAAG